Long non-coding RNA from Apis dorsata (giant honeybee), 149 nucleotides. RefSeq lists it as uncharacterized. Lineage: Eukaryota; Metazoa; Arthropoda; Insecta; Hymenoptera; Apidae. The transcript is spliced from 3 exons. The record is from RefSeq and is a predicted model, not a curated record.
UACAAGAAUUUCUUAUGGAGGACUAUCUUUUAAUUAAUAAACAAGUCUCUCUAAUUAGAUAUAAGAAGCCGCCAUAUUAUUUAAUUUUAAUGAUUCGAUAUUUAAUUAUUUAAUAUUUUCUCUUAAUUUUUAUAGUAAUGUAUCUAAUC